Cebus imitator (Panamanian white-faced capuchin) is the source of this 677-nucleotide long non-coding RNA. RefSeq lists it as uncharacterized. The record is from RefSeq and is a predicted model, not a curated record. The transcript is spliced from 2 exons. NCBI's taxonomy places the organism in Eukaryota, Metazoa, Chordata, Mammalia, Primates, Cebidae.
CCCGGAACCUGACGCCUCGGAAUCCCGGUCUACUCUGCGGAGGCCUGAGCGGGCUCACGAGGGAACCAGUUCUGCGGGUCCGGCCGGCUCAACUGUGAAUCUGUCCUUCUUGCUACCGAGAGCCCAGGCCUGGCACAGCUUAGUGUUCGGUGAAUGUCUGCUGAACAAAUCUGUGUGACUGGAACCUCUUGGGCCCAGAAUCAAGUUUGGGUCCACAGCAGUUGUGGGCCCACAAACUCCCUGCCCUGAGGAGACUGGGGCAGCCAUCUCUUUGCCCUCACUGGGCAGGUAAGGAAGCCCAGGCGGCCUUGGUCCCUCAGAGCCCCAGUGUCGUCAUCUGAGAAAUGGGGUGAUCAUAAGGACACUAGCCUCAUUCAGUUACUGGCAAGAUGAAACUGAUGACGAGGAUUGCUCCAGCCAGCCCCGAUGCCCUUGAGGCAGGAGCGAGGUCUGAUUAAUUCAUCUAAGGCCAGGCACCAGGGCAGGCCUCAGGAAAUGACAGGCAAAUCUUGGAGUUUGCAGUCAUGAGCCUUUGUGAAUGGCUUAUUUUGCAGGGAGUCCUACUCAACUGGAUUCUGACUCCUCAUGACAACCCUAAGGGAAGCAUGAUUAUUAAUAUCUCUGUUACAGUUCUCACAUUCCUUCACUUAUUAAUCCAAUAAAUAUUUGAGUGCCUA